UUAAAAUUUUCAUCGUCCCAAAAAAAAACAAUAUAAAUAGGAGCACGCUGUAUACAAGAGUGAUAAAAUGAAAUCGGAAAGAGGCGCUUGCGCAUUCGUAAUCACAAGAUUGCAUCUCGCUUGUCAGUUAGCCUUCGACCGUCCUGCAGUCAACACUGCUGUGUGUACUGAACACCUACAUCGUGCAGUCACAACUGGUAUCGAUCGUAAUUAUUUUUGAACAAAAACUUAUUUAAAAAAUUUUGAUAACAAUUAUUUUUAUCACCUUUCUAAUUGUAUUUUGCAUUAUCUAAUAUCUUUGUUUCACAGUCUUAUUGAACAUUAAUUAGGAUUUUUUUUAAUAAUGUCUAGUAAUUAGUAACAAGAUUAGUAACAAUUAGUAGCAUAAACGAAAGCCCAGUGGUAUUUUAAAUAAAUGUUCUAACAGC
Molecule: long non-coding RNA, 428 nt
Organism: Colias croceus (clouded yellow)
Lineage: Eukaryota; Metazoa; Arthropoda; Insecta; Lepidoptera; Pieridae
Exons: 2
Source: RefSeq, a predicted model, not a curated record